This 253-nucleotide ribosomal RNA is filed under the name uncultured bacterium. RNAcentral describes it as "partial 16S ribosomal RNA". It matches the Rfam family "Bacterial small subunit ribosomal RNA", at positions 524 to 776 of the family's 1533-position model. The record is from RNAcentral.
UACGUAGGGCGCAAGCGUUGUCCGGAAUUAUUGGGCGUAAAGAGCUCGUAGGCGGCUUGUCACGUCGGGUGUGAAAGCCCGGGGCUUAACCCCGGGUCUGCAUUCGAUACGGGCUAGCUAGAGUGUGGUAGGGGAGAUCGGAAUUCCUGGUGUAGCGGUGAAAUGCGCAGAUAUCAGGAGGAACACCGGAGGCGAAGGCGGCUUGCUGGACCUGGUCUGACGCUGAGGCGCGAAAGCGUGGGGAGCGAACAGG